CGGCGGACGGGUGAGUAACGCGUGGGUAACCUACCUCAUACAGGGGGAUAACAGUUGGAAACGGCUGCUAGUACCGCAUAAGCGCACAGUACCGCAUGGUACGGUGUGAAAAACUCCGGUGGUAUGAGAUGGACCCGCGUCUGAUUAGGUAGUUGGUGGGGUAACGGCCUACCAAGCCGACGAUCAGUAGCCGACCUGAGAGGGUGACCGGCCACAUUGGGACUGAGACACGGCCCAA
RNAcentral lists this ribosomal RNA (238 nucleotides) under uncultured bacterium. RNAcentral describes it as "partial 16S ribosomal RNA". It matches the Rfam family "Bacterial small subunit ribosomal RNA", at positions 96 to 334 of the family's 1533-position model. The record is from RNAcentral.